UUUUUUUUUUUUUUUUUUUUUAAGAUUUUAUUUAUUUAUUCAUGAGAGACACAGAGAGAGAGAGGCAGAGACACAGGCAGAGGGAAAAAGCAGGCUCCCUGCGGGGAGUAUUAUGCGGGACUUGAUCCCAGGACUCUGGGAUCACACCCUGAGCCCAAGGCUCAGCUCAACUGCUGAGCCACCUAGGGUCCCCAGUUGUUACCUCUUGAUGAACCUUGGUCUAGUUCCCAUUGGGGCCUAACCACUGUGGACCCAAUUGUCAUUCUUGUCUUCCUCCUGAGAAUUCUUCUCUGUUCACCUAACACUUCAGCCAAACCAGGCCCUCCACACUCUGAGUCUUCCUACAUGCAUGUCCUUUCCUCUGCCUGGAAUGCCCCCAACUACCCAUCUUCAGGGACUGGCUCUAGGGCCAUGCCCUCCUAGGCGCCUCCCCUCCCCAUCUGGCUGGAGGCCACAAGUGGCUUCUCAUUCUGUUUGGGCAUAGUUCUUCAUUCUUGAGGCUGCUUCAUCACUGGUGGGGCCCAAGGUGGUCUUUGGUACACAGUAGGUGCCCAUAAACAUCUGUAGCUGGGAAGAAUGAGUCUAACCCAAUUCCUUCAUUCUACUGCUACCAGGAGAAAGGACUAAGGCGGGGCUCCUGCAGGGCUCCUCCCCAGGCUAGGAUUUUUCUGCCAUUCACUUUGGGAAGGAAGCCCUCCAGGGGCCAUGGUUCCCUGGGAAGACAACCCUCCAGAGUUCAGACUCUUCUCAGCUAGGAACUCCACCACUGUCCCAGACACGCCAUCCGCUCUGGAAGGUUGGUUCCCACUCUCUCAGAGCCCUCCCACUGCCAUUCCACAACUCCUAGCACUACCGCCUGAUACUGUCAGAGGCAGAAAGGGCCUUCAGGAUUACGCAUCUAGGGCACCCACAAAAGCCUCAAAAGGUCCUUAGCCUCCGAGCUGUGUGCACAACUGUGUGUGUGUGUGUGUGUAGAUUUCCGCAGUGAACAUCCAGAGACACCACCUGAAUCUCACUGGUGUCCAAGACCCAACUGAGAUACAGAACAACUUACUGUGACUCUUGAGCUCCUCAUACAGGUGUUAAUAUACGUAAGGGUCUUACAGCUGUACCUGGUACAUUUUAAGCACUCUUUAAAGAAUGGGUUGGCUCACAGUCUGGUUUCACAAAUAAAGUUUUAUUGGAACACAGUGACACCUUUGGUUUUGUAUUAUCUACAGUUGCUUUCCCACGAUGGCUACAAGGGCAGAUUUGCAACACGGAUGUAACUAUAUAGCUCACAAAGUCCAGGAAGAAUUGGCUGCCACUAUGAUAAUUAUACAGGUGAACAGUAGCAGGCUCUAAGCCACACGGUUAGUAAUCCGGGGCUUGAAUCUACGUCUGUUCAAGGAUUCUGUAACACACCUCUGUGCCUCUCCACUCACCUUUAACACAUGGUGCUCAUUCAUCACUCAGCAAGGGUUCAAGGAACCCCUUCUGUAUCCUCCAGGCUGAACUACUGGGGGCAAAGGUUGGGGGGGACAGUUGAAGCUGACCUUACGGCUUUGAAGAAUGACUUUACUCUGCCUCCAGGUCCUUAAGUGACUAGCCCUGUGUACCUUCUUUUUGUCUACUGAAUCCACAAAUAUUCUUUCUACCUCAGGACCUCUGCAUAUGGCUGGCUCUUUCCUGCCAUUCAGGUUUUAGCUCACAUAUCACCACCCAGUUAAAACUCCUGGGCUCAAGUCCCUUUUUAUUCUUACAUGGCACUUAUGACCAUUUUCUAGUGCCUCGAACAGUGCCUGACAACAGUGGGCACUCAUGGUACUCAAUAAUUGUUUAUUACCAAAAUGACUCCUGGACAGGAUGUCAGGCAAUAUGGCUUCUCUUUUUGGCUCUGUAAUCCCACUCACUGAACCACAUCUCCCUUCUCUGGGCCUCAGCUGCCUCCUAUGUAAGGUAGAAUGUGAGGGGUGGGUGAGAAGCCCCUAAUCUUUUGGCUUGAGCAUUUUAUGAUUUGAAAGCACUUGCCAGGGACCUGCCAUUGGUAGGUUUGGUGGUAAUAGGCUAUAUUUGACUGUGAGCCGAGGUCCCAGCCCAGGCCCUGGGGACAGAUGAGAAAGUCUCUACUGAGGGACGAGGGAAGGAAGAGGGGGGAGGAGGCCGAGGGGAGACCAAGAAUCAGUCAGGCAGGGAAGGCUCUGAGAGCUGCAGACCAGGGGCCAAGUGCACAGAAGACGGAGGCAGACGAAGAACAGGGAGGAUAAGGGUUCUGGGAAGAGCUUCUUUCACUUUCUAGCCUCUGAGCUUUAGAGCUGUUUGAAAUUUGUAUAACAAGUAUGCAUUAUUUUUGCAACUGGAAAAAUGAAAAUGUGCAUGCCCUUUGACCCAGCAACUCCAUUUCUAGGAAGUCGCCGCAGAUAGAGGCAUGUGUGAAAUGACCCAUGUACAAAGCUAUUCAUGGCAGCCUGUUUGAAAUAGCAAAAUACUGGAAACAAUCUAAAUGUACAUCAAAAGCCGACAGACAGGCUAGAUAAACCAGGGCAAAUCUAGGAAAUGGAGCAGUAGAGAGAUGUUAAAAGCAAGAGCCUAGCAAGUCUCUAAGUCCUGAGGUAGAAUAAUCUCCAAAAUUUGUUAAGUAAAAGAAACAAGGUACAGAUGACAUAUACAAGAUGCUGCCAUUUAUAUGAAAACCUAUAUGCACAAAUGUUUAUAAAUGCUCAGAAUAUCUGUUCACGUACCAUUUGCUAGGGGAUAGGGUUGGUGGGAGCGACUCAGUGUUCAGUAUUCUUUUUAUAAAGUUGAGGUAAAAUUCACAUAACACAAUAUGAACCAUUUUAAAGUAUACAAUUUUGGAGGCGCCUGGGUAGCUCAGUGGGUGAAGUGUCUGCCUUUGGCUCAGGUCAUGAUCCUAGGGUCCUGGGAUGGAAACCCUUCAUUGGGUUCCCUGCUCAGCAGGGAGCCUGCUUCACCCUCUCCCUCUGCACCCCACUUGUGCUUGCUGUCUCUCUCUAGUGCUCUCUCAAAGAAAUAAAAAUCUUUAAAAAAGUGUACAAUUUCCGUACAGUUCAACCAUCACCUCCAUGUCAGUCCACAUUUUCAUCAUCCUAAAAAGAACCUGCCAUUCCCACUAGCAGUUCCCAUCCCCUCUCCCCCAGCCCCUGGCAACCACUAAUCUGCUCUGUCUCUGUGGAUUUUCCCAUUCUGGAUAUUUCAUAUAAUUAGAGUCAUACAAUAUGUGACCUUAUGUGUCUAGCUUCUUUCGUUUAGCAUGUUUUGAGUUUAUCCAUGCUGAUCUUCAUCAUGGAUUUUACAUUUCAUUGUAUGGACAUACCACAUUUUGUUUAUCUGUUCAUCAGAUGAUGGACAUUUGGGUUGUCUCCACCUUUUGGCUAUUGGCAAUAGCGCUGCGGUAAACACUCAUGUACAGGUUUUGGUUUGUUGUUUUUUCAGGUUUUGGUUUGAAUACAUGUUUUCAAUUCUUUUGGGUACAUAUUUAGGAGUGCAAUUGUUGGGUCAUAUGGCAAUUCUGUGUUUAACUGUUUUAAGAACUGAAAGCUGUUUUCAAUAUUCUUUUGUACCUUGUGAAUUUUAUGCUAUGCGCACCAUAAGCAAAUGUCAGCACUUCCCCCACCUCACAAAAGAAAAGAAAGUGAAGGUGUACAUUCAUGGAAAGAAAAAAAGCAUACUGCAAAUGCAAAGGAUUAUCGUUAGGUAAGAAAUGAGCAAAUAUUUAUCU
RNAcentral lists this long non-coding RNA (3718 nucleotides) under Canis lupus familiaris (dog). Its description in RNAcentral is "lncRNA (ENSCAFG00845023667.1)". Lineage: Eukaryota; Metazoa; Chordata; Mammalia; Carnivora; Canidae. The record is from RNAcentral.